GAACGGGUGAGUAACACGUGGGUGAUCUGCCCUGCACUUUGGGAUAAGCCUGGGAAACUGGGUCUAAUACCGAAUAUGAUCAUGCUCUUCAUGGGGUGUGGUGGAAAGCUUUUGCGGUGUGGGAUGGGCCCGCGGCCUAUCAGCUUGUUGGUGGGGUAAUGGCCUACCAAGGCGACGACGGGUAGCCGGCCUGAGAGGGUGACCGGCCACACUGGGACUGAGAUACGGCCCAGACUCCUACGGGAGGCAGCAGUGGGGAAUAUUGCACAAUGGGCGCAAGCCUGAUGCAGCGACGCCGCGUGAGGGAUGACGGCCUUCGGGUUGUAAACCUCUUUCAGCACAGACGAGGCGCGAGUGACGGUAUGUGCAGAAGAAGGACCGGCCAACUACGUGCCAGCAGCCGCGGUAAUACGUAGGGUCCGAGCGUUGUCCGGAAUUACUGGGCGUAAAGAGCUCGUAGGUGGUUUGUCGCGUUGUUCGUGAAAACUCACAGCUUAACUGUGGGCGUGCGGGCGAUACGGGCAGACUUGAGUACUGCAGGGGAGACUGGAAUUCCUGGUGUAGCGGUGGAAUGCGCAGAUAUCAGGAGGAACACCGGUGGCGAAGGCGGGUCUCUGGGCAGUAACUGACGCUGAGGAGCGAAAGCGUGGGGAGCGAACAGGAUUAGAUACCCUGGUAGUCCACGCCGUAAACGGUGGGUACUAGGUGUGGGUUUCCUUCCUUGGGAUCCGUGCCGUAGCUAACGCAUUAAGUACCCCGCCUGGGGAGUACGGCCGCAAGGCUAAAACUCAAAGAAAUUGACGGGGGCCCGCACAAGCGGCGGAGCAUGUGGAUUAAUUCGAUGCAACGCGAAGAACCUUACCUGGGUUUGACAUGCACAGGACGCCAGUAGAGAUAUUGGUUCCCUUGUGGUCUGUGUGCAGGUGGUGCAUGGCUGUCGUCAGCUCGUGUCGUGAGAUGUUGGGUUAAGUCCCGCAACGAGCGCAACCCUUGUCCUAUGUUGCCAGCGGGUUAUGCCGGGGACUCGUAGGAGACUGCCGGGGUCAACUCGGAGGAAGGUGGGGAUGACGUCAAGUCAUCAUGCCCCUUGUGUCCAGGGCUUCACACAUGCUACAAUGGCCGGUACAAAGGGCUGCGAUGCCGUGAGGUGGAGCGAAUCCUUGUAAAGCCGGUCUCAGUUCGGAUCGGGGUCUGCAACUCGACCCCGUGAAGUCGGAGUCGCUAGUAAUCGCAGAUCAGCAACGCUGCGGUGAAUACGUUCCCGGGCCUUAUACACACCGCCCGUCACGUCAUGAAAGU
This 1299-nucleotide ribosomal RNA is filed under the name uncultured bacterium. RNAcentral's name for it is "bacterial SSU rRNA". It matches the Rfam family "Bacterial small subunit ribosomal RNA", at positions 100 to 1411 of the family's 1533-position model. The record is from RNAcentral.